UUUAUUACUUUCCGAGUUUAGUCUUUUUCAAAUAUUAAUUGAGUUUGAGUUACUUUUAAGUGAGGAUUGCUCCGACGCAGGAUGAGAUAUCAAAAGUUGGAUCUCAACUGGAAGCGCUUAAGGUAUACUCCAGUAAUUGAGGACAAUACAUACAUACACUGUCAUGCUUAGAUAUACACUUCAUAAUAUUCACAUGUGUUUCAUAUGGCUGCAUAUUUCUGGACUGAGGAUGACGCAACCCGUCCUGAAUCACCCUAAAGGACCCAACACGUGUCGUGCGUCGAUGAUAGUACCAACUAAGUGUCGGACCUACCAUUAAAGCAACUUUGACCUUCUUUAUCUGCGACAAACUUAAUAAAAAUUUUGGCAAAUUUCCCUUUAAAAUAUGGACUAAAACCACCUCAGAAUAUAAUCAAGUAUCCCAAACAUGUACAUGAAGUUUAAAAUAAGGUACACCGGCCCCUCAGAAUACCAACUAUUCAAAAUACUAUACUGACAAUUCGACCUUUGCAAUAAUUUACAAACAGGUGUUCCCAAAUGCAUAAUAUAUACAAAAUACAGCAAGCCCAAGACAUGUAACUAAUUUCUAAUCAAAAUAUGUGUCUAUGCCAAAUAUGAACUUUAUAAACUGAUAGAGAUGAAUCAUAGGCGCUUGACAAUACAUGACUCAACUCGAUAGAUCAAUUGGCCCCUAGUGGUGUUUAACUUAGCUACUAUCUAAUAAGAGAAAGGGUGAUGAAAAAAUAUGAGCCUACAACUUAAUGAGUGGAUAUUUCGCAAGUAUAUAAUUUCCAUUUAUGCCAACUUUCUGAAAACUGGUAUAUAAUAAAAAUGUUCAUUUACGGUACUAUAAGCUAAAAUAUUUAUUCUUUAAACUGAAAUGACUAAAUUCUGUAAUAUGAAACUGAUAAACUGUAAAUUAUUGAAAAUCACAACAAAAAGUACCCGGAAUAACCUUACUCAUGUAUCGGUUAGUACUGAUAUACAUAGCAAAGUUAUUAAAUUUUGAAAUUCUGUAAUUCUGGUCAUACGCAUGCAGAGCUGCCCAAAGGCUAUAAUCUGGUUAUACACUAUGGAGAAUACAUUCACAAUAGUGCAGAGCGGAUAAGAUCACUAUAACUGAUCAUACACUGUGAAAACACAUUCACACAAAUAUACACUAUGGUAAAAUUAACUGGGUAUUUUCUAAUGGUUUUAAAAAUAACUUUAAAUAUGCUGAAAUAUUUAAUACUGAAAUAGUAUGCCAAUGAAAUGAUUUAACUUUAAAAAUAACUAUUUAUAAAUCAACUUUAUUCUGAAAAUUAUGCUGUCAAAUCCACUGUAUGAAAUAAUAAAUUUUCUAAUUUAAUAUAAAUUUAAUAAAUACUAAUUUUUGAAAAAUAAAUUUAUAUCCACCCACAAGUCAAGCUAUAGCCUAAGAUGGUCGGUAGGCUUUUUCGAUAUCCUUGUUACCAGCUGAAAUACGACACAAAAUAACCAAUUUAACCACUAUUAAAACAAAAACAAAAAAAACUUUUAUCUCUAAUGAUAUAAUACCUAAAUUAAUUCUCGAUAUUUGAAUAAAUUUCCAAAUUUUCCUUUAAUCAAUUGGAAUUAAUUCCACUUUCUAGUUCAUUUACUAAUAACCGAUUCCUCCAAUUAAUCUUCAUCCAAGGCAUGUAAAUAAUUUAUCCUUUCAAUCUAGUGAAAACUAGCAAUCAUACUCCAACCAAUUUAAGAUAUAUCUUGCUCCAUAAAAUUAUUCUUUCAAGUGAAUAAUUCCAUCACUUGAUCAUUUCCACAAUUAAUUUUUACUCAAUCGUCCAAUUUAAAAAACUAGGGUUUACUAGAAUUUGAUAUUUCUUACCUUAAGGUAGAUAGAAAUUAACCAAUCAAGGAAUCUUCACAAGGUAUAGUUCUAAUUUCUCUUAAUCUAUAAUUUAUAUCCACAAAUUAACCAACUACUUUAAACCUUAGAAAUUUCAGCAUCAUCAUUGUAUACAAAAAAAUUAUGUCUUUACCUCUUGAAGAAAUUGAAGACCUCAAACCCAAGUUUACCUUCCUUUCCCUCUCCUUUUCUUUCUUCUUCUUUCUUUCUUUCUCCCUCUUUUUCUUCCUCUAUUUUCUCGAAUUUUCUCCCUCUGCCGAACUCCCCCUCACUGCCUGAUUUUUAGUGUGUUUGAGUGUGUGUUUU
This 2173-nucleotide long non-coding RNA is filed under the name Olea europaea (common olive). RNAcentral's name for it is "long non-coding RNA (OEUR_LNC010128)". The record is from RNAcentral. Lineage: Eukaryota; Viridiplantae; Streptophyta; Magnoliopsida; Lamiales; Oleaceae.